This 418-nucleotide ribosomal RNA is filed under the name Leptographium olivaceum. RNAcentral describes it as "eukaryotic LSU rRNA". It matches the Rfam family "Eukaryotic large subunit ribosomal RNA", at positions 1 to 419 of the family's 3401-position model. The record is from RNAcentral. Lineage: Eukaryota; Fungi; Ascomycota; Sordariomycetes; Ophiostomatales; Ophiostomataceae.
UUGACCUCGGAUCAGGUAGGAUUACCCGCUGAACUUAAGCAUAUCAAUAAGCGGAGGAAAAGAAACCAACAGGGAUUGCCUCAGUAACGGCGAGUGAAGCGGCAACAGCUCAGAUUUGGAAUCUGGUCCUUUGGGGCCCGAGUUGUAAUCUGGAGAGGAUGCUUCUGGCGCGGCGCCGUCCGAGUUCCCUGGAACGGGACGCCGGAGAGGGUGAGAGCCCCGUACGGUCGGACGCCUAGCCUGUGUGAAGCUCCUUCGACGAGUCGAGUAGUUUGGGAAUGCUGCUCAAAAUGGGAGGUAAAUUUCUUCUAAAGCUAAAUACCGGCCAGAGACCGAUAGCGCACAAGUAGAGUGAUCGAAAGAUGAAAAGCACUUUGAAAAGAGGGUCAAACAGUACGUGAAAUUGUUGAAAGGGAAG